This 345-nucleotide ribosomal RNA is filed under the name uncultured bacterium. RNAcentral's name for it is "partial 16S ribosomal RNA". It matches the Rfam family "Bacterial small subunit ribosomal RNA", at positions 338 to 675 of the family's 1533-position model. The record is from RNAcentral.
CCUACGGGGAGCUGCAGUGGGGAAUAUUGCGCAAUGGGCGAAAGCCUGACGCAGCGACGCCGCGUGAGGGAUGAAGGUCUUCGGAUCGUAAACCUCUGUCAGCAGGGAAGAACGGUCACUGGGCUAAGCAGCAGUGAAUUGACGGUACCUGCAAAGGAAGCACGGGCUAACUCCGUGCCAGCAGCCGCGGUAAUACGGAGGGUGCGAGCGUUAAUCGGAAUUACUGGGCGUAAAGCGCUCGUAGGCGGUAUGUCAAGUCAAGGGUUAAAUCCCCGCGCUCAACGUGGGAACUGCCUUUGAAACUGGCAACCUGGAGUGUGUGAGAGGCUAGUGGACUUCCAGGUG